GCUGGGAUAGCUCAAGCGGCAGAGCACCUCAUUCGUAACGAGGAGCGUAGGGUUUCAAGUACCCUUCCCAGCCCCA
RNAcentral lists this transfer RNA (76 nucleotides) under Candidatus Sulfopaludibacter sp. SbA4. RNAcentral's name for it is "tRNA-Thr". It matches the Rfam family "tRNA". Rfam says of the family: Transfer RNA (tRNA) molecules are approximately 80 nucleotides in length. Their secondary structure includes four short double-helical elements and three loops (D, anti-codon, and T loops). The record is from RNAcentral. Lineage: Bacteria; Pseudomonadati; Acidobacteriota; Terriglobia; Bryobacterales; Solibacteraceae.